GCCCCCGUAGCUCAGUGGCAGAGCGGCGGACUUCUAAUCCGCGGGUCGCAGGUUCAAGUCCUGCCGGGGGUG
This 72-nucleotide transfer RNA is filed under the name Anaerolineae bacterium. Its description in RNAcentral is "tRNA-Arg". It matches the Rfam family "tRNA". Rfam says of the family: Transfer RNA (tRNA) molecules are approximately 80 nucleotides in length. Their secondary structure includes four short double-helical elements and three loops (D, anti-codon, and T loops). The record is from RNAcentral. Lineage: Bacteria; Bacillati; Chloroflexota; Anaerolineae. RNAcentral also lists the same sequence under 1 other name.